UCCCUCUCUCCCUCCCUUUCACCCUUCCUCCUCUCUCCCUCCCUCUCUCUCUCUGUCACUCUGCCUUUCAGACAUAUAUUUUAAAAGAGAUUAAAGGGGAGAUCCAAGAUGGCUGAAUGAGGUGUAGCUAAGCUGACUUCAGCUGCCUGGGAUAUGAAAAGAACAAAGGAACCACCACGUUUCCAGACUGACAGAAAUUUCCAGUGGAGAAGUGAUGAGAGAGAGAAGACUUCCCGAGACAAGAGGAGGGAUGACAGAGACGCUGCUCUAGCCGGCUGCUUGGCAGCUGCCAUCUUACCAAGUCAAGAAGGGAUAGGAGGAGGGCAGAGCAGAGGUCAUGACUUUUGCUUCCAGAACAAUUCUGGAACUCACAGACUGUGUCACUCCUGUUUCACCGUUCACCCAACAUCUAGGUAUGACCUAUGAGUAUUUUUUGAGGUCCAGACCUAAUAUAUCAUCUCCUCUAGAAACAACAUUUUGACUUUUCCAACUAGAAAUUACUUUUUAAAGUAACUUCAGAAUUGUAUUUGUACAUGGGACUUCCUAUAAUUACACAUGUACCUUUACUAUCCUGUUAAAAUAUAAGGCUUCUCAGUGAAGGAUUUAGAUCUUGCAGUUUUUAUUUUAUUUUAUUUUUUUUAUUUUUGACAGACAGAGUGGACAGUGAGAGAGACAGAGACAGAGAGAAAGGUCUUCCUUUUGCCGUUGGUUCACCCUCCAAUGGCUGCCGCAGCCAGCACACUGCGGCUGGCGCAUCGCACUGAUCCGAAAGCAGGAGCCAGGUGCUUCUCCUGGUCUCCGAUGCGGGUGCAGGUCCCAAGGACUUGGGCCAUCCUCCUCUACACUCCCAGUCCAUAGCAGAGGGCUGGCCUGGAAGAGGGGCAACCGGGACAGAAUCCGAUGCCCCGACCAGGACUAGAACCCUGUGUGCAGGUGCCGCAAGGCGGAGGAUUAGCCUAUUGAGCCACGGCGCCGGCCUAGAUCUUGCUUUUUAAACACAUUAUUUAGCUUGUACUUAGACCUAUAUACAGUAAAACUGAAAGAAUAACUUACUGAUCAUUAAAUAAUAAAGCCAAUCAACA
Molecule: long non-coding RNA, 1082 nt
Filed under: Oryctolagus cuniculus (rabbit)
Lineage: Eukaryota; Metazoa; Chordata; Mammalia; Lagomorpha; Leporidae
Description: lncRNA (ENSOCUG00000038754.1)
Source: RNAcentral